GACGAACGCUGGCGGCGUGCUUAACACAUGCAAGUCGAACGGUAAGGCCCUUCGGGGUACACGAGUGGCGAACGGGUGAGUAACACGUGGGUGAUCUGCCCUGCACUUCGGGAUAAGCCUGGGAAACUGGGUCUAAUACCGGAUAGGACUCCUGGCUUCAUGGUUGGGGGUGGAAAGCUUUUGCGGUGUGGGAUGGGCCCGCGGCCUAUCAGCUUGUUGGUGGGGUAAUGGCCUACCAAGGCGACGACGGGUAGCCGGCCUGAGAGGGUGACCGGUCACACUGGGACUGAGAUGCGGCCCAGACUCCUACGGGGGGCAGCAGUGGGGAAUAUUGCACAAUGGGCGCAAGCCUGAUGCAGCGACGCCGCGUGAGGGAUGACGGCCUUCGGGUUGUAAACCUCUUUCAGCUAUGACGAAGCGCAAGUGACGGUAGUAGCAGAAGAAGGACCGGCCAACUACGUGCCAGCCGCCGCGGUAA
Molecule: ribosomal RNA, 478 nt
Filed under: uncultured bacterium
Lineage: Bacteria
Description: partial 16S ribosomal RNA
Rfam family: Bacterial small subunit ribosomal RNA
Source: RNAcentral